This 374-nucleotide ribosomal RNA is filed under the name Acholeplasma laidlawii. RNAcentral's name for it is "bacterial SSU rRNA". It matches the Rfam family "Bacterial small subunit ribosomal RNA", at positions 96 to 482 of the family's 1533-position model. The record is from RNAcentral. Lineage: Bacteria; Bacillati; Mycoplasmatota; Mollicutes; Acholeplasmatales; Acholeplasmataceae.
UGGCGAAUGGUUGAGUAACACGUAGAUAACCUACCUUUAACUCGAGGAUAACUCCGGGAAACUGGAGCUAAUACUGGAUAGGAUGUGUGCAUGAAAAAAACACAUUUAAAGAUUUAUCGGUUUAAGAGGGGUCUGCGGCGCAUUAGUUAGUUGGUGGGGUAAAAGCCUACCAAGACGAUGAUGCGUAGCCGGACUGAGAGGUCUACCGGCCACAUUGGGACUGAGAACGGCCCAAACUCCUACGGGAGGCAGCAGUAGGGAAUUUUCGGCAAUGGGGGAAACCCUGACCGAGCAACGCCGCGUGAACGACGAAGUACUUCGGUAUGUAAAGUUCUUUUAUAUGGGAAGAAAAAUUAAAAAUUGACGGUACCAUA